AGGAAGGAAUCGUACCCGAGAGCUGGUUAUCAGCUAAAUCAAGAAUCGUCAGCUUGUGACAGUUACCUAAAGUGGCGGGAAUGUUACCAACGAACUCGUUCUCUCUCAAGUGAAGCAGAGUAAGGUCAUCUAAUCUCCCAAUAGAGGAAGGAAUCUCUCCACUGAAAUGAUUCCCAAACAUAUCAACCGACUUCAGACUCGUGCAGUUCCCAAUCUCGGUCGGGAUUUCACCGGAAAACCGGUUCUCGUAUAGAUACAGAACUUCUAAUUUGCUGAGGAAACCGAUUUCGUUAGGUAACUUCCCCUCCAAGUCAUUGUGAUACAGAGCAAGCUCUUGUAGAUUCCUUAGGCUAGAUAUUGGGUGAGAUAACGUACCCUUCAAGGUAUUGUUGUUAAGAUAUAAAACCGUGAGUUCAGCGAGCUUGAACAAUGAAUCUGGGAUUCGUCCGGAGAGCGUGUUGUUCGACAGAUCAAGCGCUUGUAAUGACUGACAUUUGCUAACUUCCGCCGGGAUUUCGCCGGAGAGUUGAGUUCCAGACAAAACCAGUUGCUUCAAGCUUGUGUUGUUAGAGCACAAGCUCUUUCGUAAGGAACCAGAGAGACGGUUAUUGGCUAGAACCAAAUCUUCAAGCUGGUUCAUAUUCCAGAACUCUUCGUGUAUCUCUCCGGUGAGAUUGUUGUUGGACAAAUCAAGGGUUUGAAGAUUCUCCAAACCGGUUACUCUCUUUGGAAUCGGACCUUGAAGUCUGUUACCAACCAAGUUAAGGUAGUGUAGAUGGCGCAAAUCACCGAAUUGGCUCGGAAUCUCACCGGAGAAGCUGUUGUUUCCCAAAUUGAGUAUCUGGAGGUUUCCGAGUUGACUCAGCUCCGUCGGUAAAGACCCGUUGAGGCUAUUCAACGCCACGGUGAACAAAACGAGGCUGGUGCAGUUUCCUAACUCGGGCGGAAUCGGUCCUUGGAGGUAGUUUUGUUGUAGAAUUAAGGCUUGGAGGUUAACGAGUCGACCGAGUUGACUCGGUAUUGAACCGGUGAGUCUACACUUGGCCAAUGCGAGCGUCUGGAGAUUGACGAGGUUACCGAACGUAUCCGGGAUUGAUCCGAUUAGGUCGUUGUCUCCGAGUUUUAACGACCUGAGGUUCACGAGUGAGCCGAGUUGACUCGGUAGCUCGCCGGUGAGUUGGUUAGAGAAGAGAUGCAAAGUUUCCAAGGAGGCGGAGAGGUUGGAGAGAGCAGUUGGGAUGGGACCCACGAGACUGUUGGAAGAUAGAUCGAGGUGGAUUAGGUUACUAAACCGGCCAAUCGAAGGAGAGAUUGAACCGGUUAAGUCAAAAUCAGAGAGAUUUAAACCGAUGACGACACGACCACGGCACGUGACACCGGUCCAGUUGCAGUAAUUGAGAUCAUCUGAAUUCCAGUUUUGGAGAACCUUUUCGUCUUCUGGGUUUAUCACAAUAGACUUCUUCACUUCGAGAAGAGUUUGAAGAUCGUCACUUUGAACCGGCUGACCCAAACCCGGCCCGAUCGAAAACCAGAGGACGAGCAACACAAUAAGAAGAGAACUUUGCUGCAUUUUUUUCCCUUCGUUUUUCUUCUUCUUCUUCAGAAACAAGAGACGUAUGAAAGUGAAUGAAGUAUCUUGAGUUUCUUGUGGUGAUUAGUGUGAGACUAGUGUUGGAAACAUAGAGAAUUUAAGACAAUUGUUGGUCCCUUUGGUUGAAGACGAAUGAUUGGUCGUAAGAACGGUGCAUGGGGACUCUCUCUCUCUAUCUAUCCAUCUAUAUGACAUAUAAUCUGAGCAUAUGUUUGUGUAUAUAUAUAUAUGUUUAAUGUGGUGAGUUAGAGGAGAAGUUAAUGCAGAUAAAGCUAGGGAUGGGGGUAUAAGUUUAAAUCUAUAUAGAUAUCUAUACUAUUGAUCCCAUUGUCAUAAUUACCUUAGGGUCAUGUUUCAUUCACUAACAUUGCAUGUUUCAUUAAGGGCAAUUAAGUAAUAUUAAUAACAAAUCUAUAUUGGGUCAUUAUUUUUGGAUCCAGCCCAAAUCAAAUCUCUCUUGGGCCAUUUGGGCCUAUUAAAAAAUCAGAUUCAAUUCUCACCUUUUUUUUUCCUUUGGACCAUUGAGUCCAAGUUCAAAUAAUUUUUUUUCAACUAUUCUUAAUUAUUAUUUUUUUCUUUUCUUAAUAUAAUUUAAGCAUUCAUAAAAAUAAUUGAAUUUUUUUAUUGAAAAGUAUAAAUCUUUAUUAAAAGUAUAUAAUUUUUUAAUUAAAAUAUUAACCCCAUAAUAAAAUUAAUUUAUCAGAGUUAUACCAACUUAAUUCAUUAAAAAAAUAAAGUUUAAUUUUUUUAACAUAAAUAGUCAUUUAAAAUGAAAUACGAUAAAUAAAGAUAAAAUUUUUAAGUCUUUUAUAAAAUAAAACACAAAUAUAUGAAAAUGUGACAUUUACUAAAUAUUUGUCAAUUGAAAAAAAAAACAAAAAUAAACCCGCGCUUUGAAAGCGCGGGUCAAAAUCUAGUNNNNNNNNNNNNNNNNNNNNNNNNNNNNNNNNNNNNNNNNNNNNNNNNNNNNNNNNNNNNNNNNNNNNNGCUUGCCAUUUAGAGAACUGCUUCUUCAACUUCCCCUCGAGGUUGUUGUAAGAGAGGUUGAGAUACACUAAGCUCUUCAUGUCCCCGAUCUGUCCAGGAACAACUCCGAUAAGGUGAUUGUGAGACAGAUCAAGUGAUUCAAGCUUAUGUAACGUCGAGAUCGUAGAUGGAAUGUCUCCGGUGAAGUUGUUGUAGCUGAGAUCUAAAGCACUUUGAAGAUCCUGUAGCUGUCCAAUCUCAACAGGGAUUUCUUCGGAUAAGAUGUUUCUCGAUAACCGGAGCUCGUAAAGCUUGCUCAGCUUGCCUAUUUCUGAAGGAAGCUCACCUGAAAACUGAUUCUUUCCGAGGUUAAGUACAUUGAGUGCUUCAAAGUUUCCAAUCUCUUGUGGGAUUGAACCGUUAAGUGAGUUUCCAUCGAGAGAUAGCACAAGAAGCUUUGUUAAGUUGAAAAUCUCCUUAGGGAGUGAACCGGUAAACUGAUUAGAAGAAAGCUUGAGCUCACCAAGCAGUGGAAGCUUCCCAAGCCAUGGAGGUAUAACCCCUGAAAGAAAGUUAUCGUUGAGAUCAAUGUGUGUCAGCUUCUUACACAAACCAAGCUCUAACGGUAUGUUUCCUGUCAGAGAGUUGCUCGAGACAUCCAACAAAGACAAAGCACUAAUCUUCCCAAAUGUCCAAGGGAUUCUUCCUGUGAACUGAUUCUUCCCUAACCUUAACCGGUCGAGACUCCGAGACUUCCCUAGCUGAAGAGGUACAUCUCCCUCGAAUUCGUUAUCCGUGACAUCAAAAGAGAGAUAAGAGCUUGAACCGCACAACGCACUGAUCGAGCCAUUGAGCUUGUUGCUUGAGAAGUUGAUCCUUGUGAGAUUCUUCAGGUUGAUGAGCGAACUCGGAAGACUCCCCCGAAGAGAAUUGUUGUAAAGAUGCAACUGUUCUAACGACUUCAAGAACCCGAACGAGGAAGGAAUCGAACCCGAGAGCUGGUUGUCAGCUAAAUCAAGAAUCGUCAGCUUGUGACAGUUACCUAAAGCGGCGGGAAUGUUACCAACGAACUCGUUCUCUCUCAAGUGAAGCAGAGUAAGGUCAUCUAAUCUCCCAAUAGAGGAAGGAAUCUCUCCACUGAAAUGAUUCCCAAACAUAUCAACCGACUUCAGACUCGUGCAGUUCCCAAUCUCGGUCGGGAUUUCACCGGAAAACCGGUUCUCG
This 3781-nucleotide long non-coding RNA is filed under the name Brassica napus (rape). RNAcentral's name for it is "long non-coding RNA (BNAP_LNC011665)". The record is from RNAcentral. Lineage: Eukaryota; Viridiplantae; Streptophyta; Magnoliopsida; Brassicales; Brassicaceae.